UACGGAGGGGGCUAGCGUUGUUCGGAAUUACUGGGCGUAAAGCGCACGUAGGCGGCUUUGCAAGUUAGAGGUGAAAGCCCGGGGCUCAACUCCGGAAUUGCCUUUAAAACUGCAUCGCUAGAAUUGUGGAGAGGUAAGUGGAAUUCCGAGUGUAGAGGUGAAAUUCGUAGAUAUCGGGAGGAACACCAGUGGCGAAGGCGAUCAUCUGGGGUUGUUCUGACACUGAGGAGCGAAAGCUAGGGGAGCAAACGGG
RNAcentral lists this ribosomal RNA (253 nucleotides) under uncultured bacterium. RNAcentral describes it as "partial 16S ribosomal RNA". It matches the Rfam family "Bacterial small subunit ribosomal RNA", at positions 524 to 776 of the family's 1533-position model. The record is from RNAcentral.